Triticum aestivum (bread wheat) is the source of this 127-nucleotide non-coding RNA. The record is from Rfam. NCBI's taxonomy places the organism in Eukaryota, Viridiplantae, Streptophyta, Magnoliopsida, Poales, Poaceae.
AAAGUACUACCUCCGUCCGGAAAUACUUGUCAUUAAAAUGGAUAAAAGGGGAUGCAUCUAGAUGUUCUAGAUGCAUCCCCUUUUAUCCAUUUUAAUGACAAGUAUUUUCGGACGGAGGAAGUAUACG